AAAUAAAAUAAUAUAAAAUAAAAAAACAAAAUCCCCAUCGGAGUUAGCGAGCUCGUUCCCAACUCAGUCUCUUCAUGGCUCACCCCCGAGUCACCAACUCGCUCAGUUCCACCACCACAAUUUCACUCUUCGGCAACCACCAUAACCCUAACAAUCAGAAGAAACCCUUUGUUCUUCUUCCAAUUCGCGCUUGCCCAUGCCGCCCACGCCCUUCCCAAUCCCUAAUUCUCCAUAAAGCUACUCCAUCAUCCUACUUCUUCUCUAAUUGCAAGCCGUUGCUCCGGUUCACCCGCCGAACCGGAGCCUCGCCUCCACCGCGCGUGAUUGGUCAGGCCCAACCGGAACACCUUCCACAGAGCAAUGCCGAAGGGGAAGACGUGCUCUUGAAACCUCAAGUUAGUCAGCUUAGGAACAGAAUUGUUUUUGGACUUGCCAUUGGAAUAACCGUAGGUGGUGUUGUUUUGGCUGGAGGGUGGGUUUUUGCAGUUGCCAUGGCUGCUGCUGUUUUUACUGGGGCACGUGAGUAUUUUGAAUUGGUUCGGAGUCAUGGAAUUACUGAAGGAAUGACACCUCCUCCACGCUAUGUCUCACGAGUCUGCUCUGUCGCUUGUGCCCUAUUGCCCUUGUACAUCAUGUAUCGUGGUCAUAUUGAUGUCUCUGUAACUUCUGCUGCAUUUGUUUUGGCCAUGGCAUUACUCUUACAAAGAGGAAGUCCACGCUUUGCGCAGCUAAGUAGUGCCAUAUUUGGAUUAUUUUAUUGUGGCUAUCUUCCGUGCUUUUGGGUUAAGCUUCGAUGUGGUUUAGCAGCUCCAGCCUUGAAUACGAGAAUAGGAGCAACAUGGCCUGUGCUUCUUGGUGGUCAAGCUCAUUGGACAGUUGGUCUUGUGGCAACUUUGAUUUCCAUUAGCAGCAUAAUUGCAGCUGAUACAUUCGCAUUUCUUGGUGGCAAGGUAUUUGGUAGAACACCACUUACCAAUAUAAGUCCUAAGAAGACAUGGGAGGGUACGAUAAUAGGCUUUUGUGGGUGUAUAGUUACUUCUGUUGUGCUUUCAAAAAUUUUCAGUUGGCCAAUGUCAUUAUCAAGUUCAAUAGCUCUUGGUGUACUGAAUUUCUUUGGAUCUGUUUUUGGUGAUCUCACUGAAUCAAUGAUUAAACGCGAUGCGGGUGUGAAAGACUCAGGCUCCUUAAUACCUGGUCAUGGUGGAGUACUAGACAGAGUGGACAGUUAUGUGUUUACUGGUGCGCUUGCAUACUCCUUCGUCAAAACCUUUCUACCUCUAUAUGGGGUAUAACAAGAAAAAUACUGGACUCGUUGACUUUUGUGUCUUCCUAAGGAUUCAACAUGUGAAUUGAACUUGAUAUUUGUGGAAACUUGGGAUAUUUUCAUGAGAUCAGAGCACAAAGAAGAAAAAGAGGACAC
Molecule: RNA transcript, 1420 nt
Organism: Arachis duranensis
Lineage: Eukaryota; Viridiplantae; Streptophyta; Magnoliopsida; Fabales; Fabaceae
Gene name: phosphatidate cytidylyltransferase 4, chloroplastic
Exons: 9
Source: RefSeq, a predicted model, not a curated record